Molecule: non-coding RNA, 72 nt
Organism: Phthorimaea operculella (potato tuberworm)
Lineage: Eukaryota; Metazoa; Arthropoda; Insecta; Lepidoptera; Gelechiidae
Source: the annotation of a GenBank genome assembly
AUGGCGUAGUGGAGUAGUGUCCACCCCUGCCUUCUACGCCGAGGGUCGUGGGUUCGAUUCCCACCAGACAUA